Molecule: ribosomal RNA, 774 nt
Filed under: uncultured Neocallimastigales
Lineage: Eukaryota; Fungi; Neocallimastigomycota; Neocallimastigomycetes; Neocallimastigales
Description: partial large subunit ribosomal RNA
Rfam family: Eukaryotic large subunit ribosomal RNA
Source: RNAcentral
GUACACGCUGUGACUAGCAUAUCAAUAAGCGGAGGAAAAGAAACUAACGAGGAUUCCCCUAGUAACGGCGAGUGAAGCGGGAAGAGCUCAAAUUUGAAAUCUUAAAGGGUUUCCCUUUACGAAUUGUAGUUUAAAGAAGUGUUUUCUGUUGAGGUUUUGGUAAAAGUUCUUUGGAAUAGGACAUCAUAGAGGGUGAGAAUCCCGUAUUUGACCUUUACUUUCAACUUUGUGAUACACUUUCAGAGAGUCGGAUUGUUUGGGAAUGCAGUCCAAAAUGGGUGGUAAAUUUCAUCUAAAGCUAAAUAUUGGCGAGAGACCGAUAGCGAACAAGUACCGUGAGGGAAAGAUGAAAAGAACUUUGAAAGGAGAGUUAAACAGUACGUGGAAUUGUCAAAAGGGAAGCGUUUGACACCAGUGUUGUUUUUCUGAAAAUCAAUUAAAGAACUGUUUAUGCUAAGUUGUUUAGACUUUAUCAGCUAUCUGCUUAGUUUUGAGCUUUUCUUUAAUGCACUUUUCAGUUAACAAGUCAACAUCAAUUUCUUUUGCUGUAAGAAAGCUUGAGGAAGGUGGCUUGAGAUUCGUCUUAAGUGUUUAUAGCCUCUUGCCUAUGCAGUCGGAGAGAUUGAGGUCUGCAGCGUAGAUCCUUCGGGGCUAAAUGCAUUUGUGCUAAGUUAUAGCAUUUUAUAGACAACUUGUCGACUAUGAUUUGUCUUGUAGCUUACUCGCUUAUGUUAUUUUACCUACGCUUAGGAUGUUGAUAUGCAUGACUGAUAU